GGUUAAGUGACUAAGCGUACACGGUGGAUGCCUAGGCAGUCAGAGGCGAUGAAGGGCGUGCUAAUCUGCGAAAAGCGUCGGUAAGGUGAUAUGAACCGUUACAACCGGCGAUACCCGAAUGGGGAAACCCAGUGUGUUUCGACACACUAUCAUGUCAUGAAUACAUAGUGGCAUGAGGCGAACCGGGGGAACUGAAACAUCUAAGUACCCCGAGGAAAAGAAAUCAACCGAGAUUCCCCCAGUAGCGGCGAGCGAACGGGGAGGAGCCCAGAACCUGAAUCGGCUUGUGUGUUAGUGGAAGCGUCUGGAAAGUCGCGCAGCAAAGGGUGAUAGCCCCGUACACUAAAAUGCACAGGUCGUGAGUUCGAUGAGUAGGGCGGGACACGUGACAUCCUGUCUGAAUAUGGGGGGACCAUCCUCCAAGGCUAAAUACUCCUGACUGACCGAUAGUGAACCAGUACCGUGAGGGAAAGGCGAAAAGAACCCCGGCGAGGGGAGUGAAAUAGAACCUGAAACCGUGUACGUACAAGCAGUGGGAGCACCUUCGUGGUGUGACUGCGUACCUUUUGUAUAAUGGGUCAGCGACUUAUAUUUUGUAGCAAGGUUAACCGUAUAGGGGAGCCGUAGGGAAACCGAGUCUUAACUGGGCGAAUAGUUGCAAGGUAUAGACCCGAAACCCGGUGAUCUAGCCAUGGGCAGGUUGAAGGUUGGGUAACACUAACUGGAGGACCGAACCGACUAAUGUUGAAAAAUUAGCGGAUGACUUGUGGCUGGGGGUGAAAGGCCAAUCAAACCGGGAGAUAGCUGGUUCUCCCCGAAAGCUAUUUAGGUAGCGCCUCGUGAACUCAUCUUCGGGGGUAGAGCACUGUUUCGGCUAGGGGGCCAUCCCGGCUUACCAAACCGAUGCAAACUCCGAAUACCGAAGAAUGUUAUCACGGGAGACACACGGCGGGUGCUAACGUCCGUCGUGAAGAGGGAAACAACCCAGACCGCCAGCUAAGGUCCCAAAGUCAUGGUUAAGUGGGAAACGAUGUGGGAAGGCACAGACAGCCAGGAUGUUGGCUUAGAAGCAGCCAUCAUUUAAAGAAAGCGUAAUAGCUCACUGGUCGAGUCGGCCUGCGCGGAAGAUGUAACGGGGCUAAACCAUGCACCGAAGCUGCGGCAGCGACGCUUAGGCGUUGUUGGGUAGGGGAGCGUUCUGUAAGCCGUUGAAGGUGGCCUGUGAGGGUUGCUGGAGGUAUCAGAAGUGCGAAUGCUGACAUAAGUAACGAUAAAGCGGGUGAAAAGCCCGCUCGCCGGAAGACCAAGGGUUCCUGUCCAACGUUAAUCGGGGCAGGGUGAGUCGACCCCUAAGGCGAGGCUGAAAAGCGUAGUCGAUGGGAAACAGGUUAAUAUUCCUGUACUUGGUGUUACUGCGAAGGGGGGACGGAGAAGGCUAGGCUGGCCGGGCGACGGUUGUCCCGGUUUAAGCGUGUAGGGGGUGUGACCUGGUAAAUCCGGUUGCAUAUCAACCCUGAGGCGUGAUGACGAUGCACUACGGUGCAGAAGUAGUUGAUGCCCUGCUUCCAGGAAAAUCCUCUAAGCUCCAGGUAACAUUAAAUCGUACCCCAAACCGACACAGGUGGUCAGGUAGAGAAUACCAAGGCGCUUGAGAGAACUCGGGUGAAGGAACUAGGCAAAAUGGUGCCGUAACUUCGGGAGAAGGCACGCUGGCAUGUAGGUGAAGUCCCUUGCGGAUGGAGCUGAAGCCAGUCGAAGAUACCAGCUGGCUGCAACUGUUUAAUAAAAACACAGCACUGUGCAAACACGAAAGUGGACGUAUACGGUGUGACGCCUGCCCGGUGCUGGAAGGUUAAUUGAUGGGGUCAGCCGCAAGGCGAAGCUCUUGAUCGAAGCCCCAGUAAACGGCGGCCGUAACUAUAACGGUCCUAAGGUAGCGAAAUUCCUUGUCGGGUAAGUUCCGACCUGCACGAAUGGCGUAAUGAUGGCCAGGCUGUCUCCACCCGAGACUCAGUGAAAUUGAACUCGCUGUGAAGAUGCAGUGUACCCGCGGCAAGACGGAAAGACCCCGUGAACCUUUACUAUAGCUUGACACUGAACAUUGAGCCUUGAUGUGUAGGAUAGGUGGGAGGCUUUGAAGCGUGGACGCCAGUCUGCGUGGAGCCAUCCUUGAAAUACCACCCUUUAAUGUUUGAUGUUCUAACUCUGCCCCGUAAUCCGGGGUGAGGACAGUGUCUGGUGGGUAGUUUGACUGGGGCGGUCUCCUCCCAAAGAGUAACGGAGGAGCACGAAGGUUAGCUAAUCACGGUCGGACAUCGUGAGGUUAGUGCAAAGGCAUAAGCUAGCUUGACUGCGAGAGUGACGGCUCGAGCAGGUACGAAAGUAGGUCUUAGUGAUCCGGUGGUUCUGAAUGGAAGGGCCAUCGCUCAACGGAUAAAAGGUACUCCGGGGAUAACAGGCUGAUACCGCCCAAGAGUUCAUAUCGACGGCGGUGUUUGGCACCUCGAUGUCGGCUCAUCACAUCCUGGGGCUGAAGUAGGUCCCAAGGGUAUGGCUGUUCGCCAUUUAAAGUGGUACGCGAGCUGGGUUUAGAACGUCGUGAGACAGUUCGGUCCCUAUCUGCCGUGGGCGUUGGAAGAUUGAGAGGGGUUGCUCCUAGUACGAGAGGACCGGAGUGAACGCACCACUGGUGUUCGGGUUGUCAUGCCAAUGGCAUUGCCCGGUAGCUAAGUGCGGAAAAGAUAAGCGCUGAAAGCAUCUAAGCGCGAAACUUGCCUCAAGAUGAGUCUUCCCUGGGCCUUUAAGGCCCCUGAAGGAACGUUUAAGACUAAGACGUUGAUAGGCUGGGUGUGUAAGUGCAGCGAUGCAUUGAGCUAACCAGUACUAAUGAUCCGUGAGGCUUAACCUU
Molecule: ribosomal RNA, 2908 nt
Filed under: Serratia sp. MF1(2023)
Lineage: Bacteria; Pseudomonadati; Pseudomonadota; Gammaproteobacteria; Enterobacterales; Yersiniaceae
Also listed under: 1 other name
Description: 23S ribosomal RNA
Rfam family: Bacterial large subunit ribosomal RNA
Source: RNAcentral